CCUACGGGCGGCUGCAGUGGGGAAUAUUGGACAAUGGGCGCAAGCCUGAUCCAGCAAUACCGCGUGUGUGAAGAAGGCCUUAGGGUUGUAAAGCACUUUCAAUGGGGAGGAAAACCUACCGGUCAAUACCCGGUAGCUUGACAUUACCUGUAGAAGAAGCACCGGCUAACUCCGUGCCAGCAGCCGCGGUAAUACGGAGGGUGCAAGCGUUGCUCGGAAUUACCGGGCGCGGUGCGUGAAGUCGCGUUUGAAAGCCCCGGGCUUAACCUGGGAACUGCAUUUGAAACUGGCGGACUAGAGUUGAGUAGAGGGGAGUGGAAUUUCAGGUGUAGCGGUGAAAUGCGUAGAUAUCUGAAGGAACACCAGUGGCGAAGGCGACUCCCUGGACUCAAACUGACGCUGAGGUACGAAAGCGUGGGUAGCAAACAGGAUUAGAUACCCUAGUAGUC
This 449-nucleotide ribosomal RNA is filed under the name uncultured bacterium. Its description in RNAcentral is "partial 16S ribosomal RNA". It matches the Rfam family "Bacterial small subunit ribosomal RNA", at positions 338 to 795 of the family's 1533-position model. The record is from RNAcentral.